This 915-nucleotide ribosomal RNA is filed under the name uncultured bacterium. Its description in RNAcentral is "bacterial SSU rRNA". It matches the Rfam family "Bacterial small subunit ribosomal RNA", at positions 52 to 975 of the family's 1533-position model. The record is from RNAcentral.
CACAUGCAAGUCGAGCGGAGACAGUGAGUAGCUUGCUAUGAGCUGUUUUAGCGGCGGACGGGUGAGUAACGCGUGAGCAACCUUUCCCAGACAGGGGAAUAACACACCGAAAGGUGUACUAAUACCGCAUAAGACCACGGAAUCACAUGGUUCUGAGGUAAAAGAUUUAUCGGUUUGGGGUGGGCUCGCGUCCGAUUAGGUAGUUGGUGAGGUAACGGCCCACCAAGCCGACGAUCGGUAGCCGACCUGAGAGGGUGAUCGGCCACAUUGGGACUGAGACACGGCCCAAACUCCUACGGGAGGCAGCAGUGGGGAAUAUUGGGCAAUGGAGGAAACUCUGACCCAGCAACGCCGCGUGGAGGAAGAAGGUUUUCGGAUCGUAAACUCCUGUCCUUGGAGACGAGUAGAAGACGGUAUCCAAGGAGGAAGCCCCGGCUAACUACGUGCCAGCAGCCGCGGUAAUACGUAGGGGGCAAGCGUUGUCCGGAAUAAUUGGGCGUAAAGGGCGCGUAGGCGGCUCGGUAAGUCUGGAGUGAAAGUCCUGCUUUUAAGGUGGGAAUUGCUUUGGAUACUGUCGGGCUUGAGUGCAGGAGAGGUUAGUGGAAUUCCCAGUGUAGCGGUGAAAUGCGUAGAGAUUGGGAGGAACACCAGUGGCGAAGGCGACUAACUGGACUGUAACUGACGCUGAGGCGCGAAAGUGUGGGGAGCAAACAGGAUUAGAUACCCUGGUAGUCCACACUGUAAACGAUGAAUGCUAGGUGUAGGGGGUAUCGACCCCUUCUGUGCCGCAGUCAACACAAUAAGCAUUCCGCCUGGGGAGUACGGCCGCAAGGUUGAAACUCAAAGGAAUUGACGGGGGCCCGCACAAGCAGCGGAGCAUGUGGUUUAAUUCGACGCAACGCGAAGAACCUUACC